UAUCCAUGGUGGGGACAUUGAUUGAGAAAAUCUUUGAACCUUUCCCAUGAUUGGUAAAGAGUUUCGUGUUAUUUUUUUAGUAAAGGUAGAUAUUUUUCUUAUAAGGUC
Humulus lupulus (European hop) is the source of this 108-nucleotide small nucleolar RNA. The record is from RefSeq and is a predicted model, not a curated record. Lineage: Eukaryota; Viridiplantae; Streptophyta; Magnoliopsida; Rosales; Cannabaceae.